Molecule: ribosomal RNA, 447 nt
Filed under: uncultured bacterium
Lineage: Bacteria
Description: partial 16S ribosomal RNA
Rfam family: Bacterial small subunit ribosomal RNA
Source: RNAcentral
AACGAACGCUGGCGGCAGGCUUAACACAUGCAAGUCGAGCGCCCCGCAAGGGGAGCGGCAGACGGGUGAGUAACGCGUGGGAACGUACCCUUUACUACGGAAUAACUCAGGGAAACUUGUGCUAAUAACGUAUGGGCCCUUUGGGGGAAAGAUUUAUCGGUAAAGGAUCGGCCCGCGUUGGAUGAGCUAGUUGGUGGGGUAAAGGCCUACCAAGGCGACGAUCCAUAGCUGGUCUGAGAGGAUGAUCAGCCACAUUGGGACUGAGACACGGCCCAAACUCCUACGGGAGGCAGCAGUGGGGAAUAUUGGACAAUGGGCGCAAGCCUGAUCCAGCCAUGCCGCGUGAGUGAUGAAGGCCUUAGGGUUGUAAAGCUCUUUCACCGGUGAAGAUAAUGACGGUAACCGGUGAAGAAGCCCCGGCUAACUUCGUGCCAGCCGCCGCCGUAA